This is a long non-coding RNA of Solanum tuberosum (potato), 745 nucleotides long. RefSeq lists it as uncharacterized. Lineage: Eukaryota; Viridiplantae; Streptophyta; Magnoliopsida; Solanales; Solanaceae. The transcript has 2 exons. The record is from RefSeq and is a predicted model, not a curated record.
UGCAAACCUAAAGUCGCCUUAGGUUUGUCUAUAUUUAGACGACUGCGGCUCUCUCAAGAAUACACAGUAUCAAGCGGAGAGGUCACACUUCAUCUAUUAUGUCCUCUCUCAUAUCAUCUUUCAGAAAAAAAAAAUUAGUCUUACACAAGGUUUGCGUACUCUCUAUCCCUGCAAGACACGACUGCCAGUGAUAUACUUGAGGAAGGUGGGGAUGACGUCAAGCCCGCAUGGCCCUUAUGGGCUGGGCCACAUAUGUGCUACAAUGGCAAUUACAAUGGAAAGCAAGGCUGUAAGGCGGAGCGAAUCCGGAAAGAUUGCCUCAGUUCGGAUUGUUCUCUGCAACUCGGGAACAUGAAGUUGGAAUCGCCCGUAAUCGCGGAUCAGCAUGUUGCUGUGAAUAUGUACCCGGGCCUUGUACACACCGCCCGUCACACCCUGGGAAUUGGUUUCGCCCGAAGCAUCGGACCAAUGAUCACCCAUUGGCUUCUGUAAGUCCUUUCGUGGUCUUAUUGGCGCAUACCUCGGUGGGGUCUUCGACUAGUAGAGAUUUCACGGAAUAUAUUGUUGUCAUGGUAGAAUUAGAGUUUUUUUUUUUAUCCCCAUUUACUUGUAUCGACUGCUGUGAGCCUGUGACUUCCAAUAAUUAUCCUAAUUGUUUAGAGUCCUAAAUCUUACACUUUUGGGUACAACAAUUUUUUAUCAUCUAAGUUUAUGAGUCGAAAAUAAGCCACACAUUUGGAGGUCA